AGUUUCACAAAAGCGCCUGGACUAAGCUUUGGACGGGAAGAAAGCUUAGUUGACGAGGAGGAGGUUUAUCGAGUGUUCGGCGGAUGCCUCCCGGCUGAUGCGAUGACAGCCGCGAGUUCUUUCUUAAAACAAAGAGGCGACUCUUUGCACAAAGGAAAGAACGUUCAUCGCA
Molecule: non-coding RNA, 172 nt
Filed under: Anoxybacillus flavithermus
Lineage: Bacteria; Bacillati; Bacillota; Bacilli; Caryophanales; Anoxybacillaceae
Also listed under: 1 other name
Description: GlcN6P sequence
Rfam family: glmS glucosamine-6-phosphate activated ribozyme aptamer
About the family: This entry contains a glucosamine-6-phosphate activated ribozyme that is found in the mRNA for GlmS. GlmS is an enzyme that uses fructose-6-phosphate and glutamine to generate glucosamine-6-phosphate.
Source: RNAcentral